RNAcentral lists this long non-coding RNA (3156 nucleotides) under Homo sapiens (human). RNAcentral describes it as "HSALNT0369098". The record is from RNAcentral. Lineage: Eukaryota; Metazoa; Chordata; Mammalia; Primates; Hominidae.
AUGUAGGCAGACGGUGAUGGGGACGUGGACAUGGGGCUGAUGGAGCACCCAACUGCCCAGCUGUGGGCUGACAGGAUAGUGUGGGUGGUUGAGGGUUGAGCUGGCUUUUGAAGUGUACAGAGAAUUCGCCAGCCAGAUAAGAGCGGAACGCAUCUGAGAGUGAAAAGAUUAUGCAAAGGCUCAGGCGUAUAAAAGAACCAUGUCACAUUCAGGAACUCUGAGGAGUGAGGAGUAGCAAGAGAGCAGUGGGUACUUGGAGCAAAUACGAUUGGAGACAAGGCUGGUGAGGCAGGCGGGAGAAAGCAGGGCUCAGUGUGCCCUGUACUGGAAUCUGCUCUUGCUCUGGGUUGAAGAUAGCAAGUGCAUCUCUGGGCAACUACUGCAGCUGGCUGUGGGGGACUGAUGCAUACUGUUGAGGCUGAUCUUACUCUGUCUCCUCUCUAUAAUCAAAAUGUGUCUCUGGAAGCUACUUCCCACCAUCCCUUGGCCAUUGGCACCUGGGCUUCUCACCUGUUCUGCUCUCCGCUGUGACUUUAUUGCUGAGAUCUCCACUGUGAGUUACCACCCACAGCACGUACUUCCUUCCAGGAACAAGGCCUUGAAACCGCCACUCCGUCAGGUCCUUGUCUUUCCAGUUUUCCUUCUUUGUGCCAUUGGGAUUAUAGAGAAUCAGCUCAUAAAAGUCAAAGUCCCCAGAGGCUGGACUCCAGUUGAACCAAAGGCUGUCUGUCGUGUUCCGAUUGGACCCCCUGAGAUGACUCACAGAGGCUGGGACUUAAACAGAAGAAAAAUUGUUACUGAGAACAAAACAGAAACACAGGCAUUUUGGCCCACAGAUCUCUAUUAAGAGAAAAAUACAAAGAAUAAAUGAGUAAGGCUCUUGAAACCAUUGAAUUGUACAAACUUUGGUGGUUUUAAAUCUGGAUUUGUGAAUAGCUGAGCCCGUUCACUGUCCCAUUUUGGAGAACCAUGAGGCAUUCUACAAUCUAGCCCUUCUCCAGGUGGAUGCUUACCUGUCCGCCCAACCACAUUUAUCUGAUUCUUCAGGGACCCGCUGACUGAGGCAAUCAUGAUCUGGUACUGCUCCCCGGCCUCCAGUCUGUGGAACGUGUGCUCAAAGACGUGCUUGGGAAUAGUCUGAGAGUCAACCUUUUGACUGUGCCUGAAUGCCGACACCGUGUAGGAAUCAACGUCUCCCCCACCAGGAGUCCAGUUCACCGUCAGGCUAUCUGUUGCUCCAUUGGGAGAAAUGUGAAUAUUUUUGACAGCACUAGGAACUAAAACAGAAAAUAAAUUUAAAAGUCAUCACUUAGAGAAUGAACUGUUGAAAUUUUCAAACAAAGUUUUGAAUGCUUCUGAUGUUUUGGCACCCACUGAGAGAACUCACAUGAAAAAGAAAGUAACAAUUUGCCACUUUUCUCUGAUUUUUCUGUGUGAACUAAAGUUGAUGGGGGAAAGCUUAGGGGGAAGUCAAAGCCGGUGAGUGGAAAUGAGGAAUGCUAAUUAUAUAGCGAGGGGCUAGUUAGGGUGUCUUGGUCCAAGUUUUGGUUUUCUCACUCACUAGCUGUGGGACUACAGGCAAAUUACUUGACCUCUGUAAGUUUUAGUUUCUUCAUUAGGAAAAAUGGCAGUGAUGAUAAUACUAACCAGCCCAUAGAGUUGUGAAGAUUGAUUCUUUUUUAAUUUAAUUUUAUUUUAUUUUUGAGGUAGGGUCUCUGUCUGUUGUCCAGGCUGGAGUGCAAUGGCAUGAUUAUGGCUCACUGCAUCCUAUACCUCCUGGGCUCAAGUGAUUCUCCCACCUCAGCCUCCCCAGUAGCUGGGACUACAGGCACGUAACACCGUGCCCGGCUAAUUUUUUUGUAUUUUUUGUAGAGACAGGGUUUUGUCAUGUUGCCCAGGCUGUGCUUGAACUCCUGGGCUCAAGCUAUCCUCCUGCCUUGGCUUCCAAAGCAUUGUGAAGACUGAACAAGAUGUAGACAUAAAAUGCUUUGCUGUGGGUCUGGUUCAUGGUGAACUGUCAGUACAUGUUAACUACUAUGGCAACACUCCUAAAAGAGUUCUAAAGAAGUGAUACCCAAGUAACACUUAAUUCUUAAUCUGUGUGCCUCAGAAGCACCAGCUGAUCACAUCAGUUCAUUGCUAUUUCUCUGAAAGCACCCUCCAACCCCGCCACUCUCUGCUGACAUCAUACUUUAUUUUCAUUCAUCCAGGUUGGACAACAUCAUUGUCACUAUCAACAUGACUUUGUCCCUUCUUGCUGUCUCCCUUUUAUCCCUCCAAAUGCUCAAUCGAAAUACCUGAACUACCCGAAAGUUAAAUGCACCACUGCAUCUAUUCAGGUUCAAGAACAGUAUUUCACAUUACCUGUGAAGCCCUCAAUGAAGGCUGACUGCUGUACAUCCCCGCUAAUCGUCAAGACAAGAAUUUUGUAUUGGCGGCCUGGUGUUAGGGAAGUAAAUCGAUACUCGGUUGCGGUAUUUACAAGGUGAAAAGGAGGAAAUACUUUCAUGUCAUUGAAGAGCAGCUGGAUCUCAUAUUGGUCGACAUCCCCAUUAGCUCCUGACCAAGUCACAUGCAAGUCCUCAGUGCUCCUGUUGCGCAAUGUUAGAUCCUUAACAGGCUCUGGAACUAGGGAGAAAAAUGAGAAGACAUUUCAGGAAAGGAACUGAUCAGAGUUUACCUACAUAAUAAUUUAUGAAUCACAUUCAAGGAACUGGCAACAUCUCCCUUCCCCAAAUAAACCACUAGCACUACUUCAUGCAUAAUUAAACAAGAAAAAUUGGAAGCAACUAUUAACAUUGUGGUUUUUUCCUGACAUAAAUGUUACAUGAUCAGCAUUGGUAGAACAUAAUUAUAAAAUGAGUUAUGAUCUCAAUCAUAAGAUAAAACAAGAAGUCUAGAAUCUAAAUGCCAUGAUGCAGGAAGAUAGGGAAGAAAAAUGGGACAUUUAGCCUUCUUGCUCCCUCACUAUGUUUGCUUUUAUCUACCAAUAAAUAUUCUGUAAUUAUAGGCCAUGGCUUGGCUGAAUGAUGUUAGCACCAAGUGAGACUUACUGGGAAUGUAAUGUACUAAUGAAUAAGCAGAAAAAAUUCAAGGUUCAGAUAAAUUACUAGAGACUUUCAAGUCCAACCAACUGUCAGAUUUUGCAAUCGUUCC